CCACAUCACGUUGAAACGCCGGUUUCCGUACGCUCACCGAAGUUAAGCAACGUUGAGCAUGGCCAGUACUUAGAUGGCUGACCACUUGGGAAUACCAGGUGUUGUAAG
Non-coding RNA from Acanthosepion pharaonis, 108 nucleotides. Lineage: Eukaryota; Metazoa; Mollusca; Cephalopoda; Sepiida; Sepiidae. The record is from the annotation of a GenBank genome assembly.